UUCGCCCUUAGAGUUUGAUCCUGGCUCAGGAUGAACGCUGGCGGCGUGCUUAACACAUGCAAGUCGAACGAAGCACUUUAACCUGAUUCUUCGGAUGAAGGUUUUUGUGACUGAGUGGCGGACGGGUGAGUAACGCGUGGGUAACCUGCCUCAUACAGGGGGAUAACAGUUAGAAAUGACUGCUAAUACCGCAUAAGACCACAGAGCCGCAUGGCUCAGUGGGAAAAACUCCGGUGGUAUGAGAUGGACCCGCGUCUGAUUAGGUAGUUGGUGGGGUAACGGCCUACCAAGCCAACGAUCAGUAGCCGACCUGAGAGGGUGACCGGCCACAUUGGGACUGAGACACGGCCCAAACUCCUACGGGAGGCAGCAGUGGGGAAUAUUGCACAAUGGGCGCAAGCCUGACCCAGCAACGCCGCGUGAAGGAAGAAGGCUUUCGGGUUGUAAACUUCUUUUGUCAGGGACGAGUAGAAGACGGUACCUGACGAAUAAGCCACGGCUAACUACGUGCCAGCAGCCGCGGUAAUACGUAGGUGGCAAGCGUUGUCCGGAUUUACUGGGUGUAAAGGGCGUGUAGCCGGGAGGGCAAGUCAGAUGUGAAAUCCACGGGCUUAACUCGUGAACUGCAUUUGAAAACUGUUCUUCUUGAGUAUCGGAGAGGCAAUCGGAAUUCCUAGUGUAGCGGUGAAAUGCGUAGAUAUUAGGAGGAACACCAGUGGCGAAGGCGGCUUGCUGGGCUUUAACUGACGCUGAGGCUCGAAAGUGUGGGGAGCAAACAGGAUUAGAUACCCUGGUAGUCCACACUGUAAACGAUGAUAGCUAGGUGUGGGGGGUCUGACCCCUUCCGUGCCGGAGUUAACGCAAUAAGCUAUCCACCUGGGGAGUACGACCGCAAGGUUGAAACUCAAAGGAAUUGACGGGGGCCCGCACAAGCAGUGGAUUAUGUGGUUUAAUUCGAAGCAACGCGAAGAACCUUACCAGGUCUUGACAUCCGACUAACGAGAUAGAGAUAUGUCAGGUGCCCUUCGGGGAAAGUCGAGACAGGUGGUGCAUGGUUGUCGUCAGCUCGUGUCGUGAGGUGUUGGGUUAAGUCCCGCAACGAGCGCAACCCCUGCCAUUAGUUGCUACGCAAGAGCACUCUAAUGGGACCGCUACCGACAAGGUGGAGGAAGGUGGGGACGACGUCAAAUCAUCAUGCCCCUUAUGACCUGGGCUACACACGUAAUACAAUGGCCGUUAACAGAGGGAAGCAAAGCGGUGACGCAGAGCAAAACCCUAAAAACGGUCCCAGUUCGGACUGUAGGCUGCAACCCGCCUACACGAAGUUGGAAUUGCUAGUAAUCGCGGAUCAGCAUGCCGCGGUGAAUACGUUCCCGGGCCUUGCACUCACCGCCCGUCA
Molecule: ribosomal RNA, 1399 nt
Filed under: uncultured bacterium
Lineage: Bacteria
Description: 16S ribosomal RNA
Rfam family: Bacterial small subunit ribosomal RNA
Source: RNAcentral